Chlorocebus sabaeus (green monkey) is the source of this 6557-nucleotide non-coding RNA. The record is from RefSeq and is a predicted model, not a curated record. NCBI's taxonomy places the organism in Eukaryota, Metazoa, Chordata, Mammalia, Primates, Cercopithecidae.
UGCAGGGACAUGGAUGAAACUGGAAACCAUCAUUCUCAGCAAAAUAUUUUUGGGUUUUUUGGCCUUAAAAACAUUAUUUUUUCUUUUUCUCCAAGGUUCUUUGUUUAGUUGAGAGAAUUGUGUUUAGCCAUAAGAUUGGCUAUAAAAUUUUAAUUUUAAUGUAUACUCCAAAGGAGUAUUUUACUAUUUGUAAAUUUAAAGAGUCAGUUAAGGACUUUAAUUUUACCCAUUGGAAAUAAUAUGCCUUUUAAUUAUCUUCCUAGGAGAGAAAAUGAAAUAGUGCUUAAAAUUAAAUGUACAAUUUGAAGAAAAUAGAUUUUAUAUUAAUCUCCAAACCUCCAUGUGUUACCACCAGGAUUAUUUAAAUAAUAAAUUUAUGAAGUUUUCAAUUAAUGCCAUCCUUGGUUUGAUUCUGAUGUUAGUGUCCAUCGUUUAUAAAAAUGCUAUUCAUGUUAUCUUUACUAAUGAAGCAAAAAUUCCUUGAGCUUCUCUGGAAAGUUAGCAUGAGUUGGUCGUUUUCUGUUUCUGCGAUUGUGUAUAUAUAGCAUAUGGGAUUCUUUAUUUGAAACUGCGUUUAGAAUAAAAAAAGUUAAUUAACAUUGAAUUCUUUCCAAACCUUACUAGGUUUUUAAAAAAUCACAGUUGAUUACAUUGGCUCAAUUGUAAUUGCAUCUUUUUUUACUCCAAUGUACAAGAACUUUCUGUUCUCCUACUGUUUACAAUAGUAAUGCCACAGGAGCAAAGACUGCAGGUACAUCAUGCCUGUUUCUGCUGUCGCCGCCUAUUUGGCUGGGGAGAUAGGGAGAAACAGUUGAUGGUUCUGAAACCUCUCCUGAGACCAUGUGAGGUAAAAAGGUAUGGCUUUGCACAUCCUGGGACUAGGAAGAGUUUCAUCUUUUCCUAAUAUCUUCUAUCUCAGGCUGCUUUUGGAAAAAUUUUUCUUAGAGUGUAAACAUGGGGCAGACUAAUGUGGUAACACAUAACAUUGUCUGGGAGACACUUUAGUUUAAGAACAUUCAAGUAAUAGACAAUCAUUCUGCCCCUUGCUAGACCAUUCUAAAAAACAAACAAACAAAAAAGUCCAAGUAAAAAAUCUCCUGCCCUACAAAUGUUAACUUUCCUCUUUUAUUUUCUGAAAUCUCUGAGGAUAUUGUGAGAAUGCUUUCUGAUGGGGCUGGUUAGCUCUGAGUUUUAGAAUGAUACUCAGAUGAAGCUAAAUUCUAUGAGUUCUUGUUACCUUUUACUCUUCCUGUGACACAGGAGGCAUAUUCAACACAGUCAUCUUAUAAAUGUGGUGUUACAGCAUUUAUACAGGAAGAUUAUCAGAAAAAUUAUUCAAAGUUUAUGUCCCAUAUGAGGAAGAUGAGUGCGACAUUUUUGAACACAUAUGCAUACAGAUUUGAAAUCCACAGGAGAAAAGCAAAUGUCGGUUCGUUUUAUUACUGACCCUUCUUGUCAUUUCAUGUAAGUAAUUUCUCUAAUUUGUGCCUCAAUUUUCUCUCCUGACAAAUCAUGAUAAUUAUAUAAAGAGGUAAGCCUUCUUAAGUUAACACUCUUAAGAUAUCAAUUUGGGAAUUUACCAGUUUUGAAAAACUUGGACAAGUUAGGUAACUUUUUUGAGUUUUAUCAUAGCUGAGAAUUCUUACAUUAUAAAAAUAAAAAAAUGUGGGAGAUGUUCUAUUGUGAUUGUCACAAAAUAAGUUGUCAGUGGAUGGUAAUUUUCAUUAUUUUUCCCAUUACACAUUUUUAGUGGUCUCAAGAAAACACAUGAGGCUAUAAUAUAUAUUAAUCUACUUGGAGAACCAGAAUUAAUAUUGGACUGAUGUAUCAAUAAUGAAAACUGAGAUGUAUUUAAAUUAAUUUAGUUGUAUAUGGAUGUCAUGACUACUCUUAUUGAAAACAAACAACUAAACCAAAAAUUGAUCCGCAUAGCAUUUUUAGCUGUAUUAAUGUUGAAACAAUACAAACAAGAAAACCAAAUCAUGUGAAAAGGCGAGUUAGCUCAGCAACUGAGUGUAUAUUAGUAUGACUUUAUUGUAUAGAUUCUAAAAGUACUACUCAUUAGCUGAUCACCACCAUUUUCAGUGUAAAGACAUCUCCUUAAUAUUAAAAAUAUUCACCGACUUAUAUACAAUAUGGUAGUUUUAGGAUUUAUUAACUGAGAAAAUACACAGUGACAAAAAACAAAUGAGGGUUCCAUUUCACUUUUCAGUGAGUUUGCAUUUUAAUUAUUUUGUCAUAGGAGUAUAUGCAAAAGUUGUAUAUCCAAGUCUGUCUUCACUUAGACUGGGGCUCAUUGUUGAAUAUAUCUAAAUUCUACAAGUUAGAGGCAAAAUGAGGCGAGAACUGUUUUUGUUAAUUUUUGUACAAAUGUAAACCUAUUUUUUCCAUAGUGCAUACAAAGUCAUGGAGGGAGAUUUGAGGUUUAAAAUGCAAUAAAUUAUCAUUCAUUUCUUCAUUCGUUCUUUCAAAAACUUCUCCAGUGAGCCUGUGUUAUGAGCCAAGGGGCUGGGAAUACAACAGUGAAUUAAGAUAAAGAUGCUAUCCUCAUGCUAUUGCCACUUACAGUUUUGUGGACAAGAAAUACAGCAAACAAACAUUUUAUAAUAGAAUUUUGCAAUAAUAGUGACAUAAGGGUAAGGGGCAAGAGAGUGAGGGAGUGUGUGAGUGUGUGUAUGUGUGUGUAUGUUAUGUACCUGUGAGAGAGAGAAUGUAUCAAGGAAAGUCUGAGGAGAUUAUUAACAUCUGAGCAGGCUAACAUGCAUAUAUUUGGGGAAAGGUAUUUCUGGUAGUGGAAAUAACAUGUCCUAAAACAGUAAAGAAAUUGUCAUGUUAGAGCAACACAAAGAGGACAAAUUAGGCUACAGAGGGUAACCAAGGAAGGAUGUUAGGAGCUGAGGUCAGAGAUUUAGGUGGGGUUUCAUCAUCUAGGACCUUGCAGGGCAUGACCACUAUCAGACAAGUUUGCCUCAGAGGUAAAAGCAAUUAUGACAACUCUUGAAAAAUAAGAUUUUUGCUGCCUAAUGUAUCCCCACAAGUUUGGCAAAAAUUAAUACAGCUUUCUAAAGUCUGAAUUCAUAUUUAUAUCUAGGAAGCCAUGUGUUAUUCUUUUUUUCAUAUGCAGUUAGAGAAAUGAUCUCUUUCUGUUUUUGAUGCCCCUCAGAACUUAUUAUUAAUAAUUCUGUAUUAGUGGUGGGCAGGGGAAAUAGCUUCCUAUUUUAUAAAACUCAGACUUCUGGGGCACUUGAAAUUGGAGUUUAUCUUUACUUUUGGUUCCAGUUUCUAGAACCUCAAAUUUCUUGUUAGUAAGGGGUCCUUUCUUCCACAAUCCGAGAAAAAAUUAAUUAAACAUGGGUACUGAGUCAUCGUUGUUUAUGAAAAAUGGAAUUAUAACUGGGUGAGAUGGAAAGGUAGAUGAAUAGAUUAUGACUUUUGUGUAGUGUGAAUUUUUACAAAUAACUGCAUUCUUUUCUGUUUAGAAAAAGAGAAACUUGUAGUUCCUGAUCAUUUCGACAUUUUUCCUUCUCCUCUCUACAGGUACACUUUAUCUACUUCUGUGGUUUUAAUGUAAAAACCUAAAUUUCCUGUUCUGCCAUUUCUUUUGAGGCCCAGAGUUUUUUGUCUAAUUAACUACUGAAUAUUCUGCAGACAGUUAAAACCUAGGGUAUCUAAAAUCAAAGUCACCAAUUUUCUGUCUCAGACCAGCUUCUUCUGCAUAUUCCCAGUCAUAGCUGAUGGCAUCCCAUUCUGCCUAUUCUCCCAAGUUAGAAUUCUGAAUCAUCUUUGCUCUGUCUUUUUUCUUUCUGCCUCAUCCUCAGGUCACAGCACAUUGUUCUACUGUAAGGAUAUUUCUUAAAUAGCACCUUAUCUCCUUUCCCAUUUACUACUGCCUCUUACCUAAACUUGUGCAAUAACUUCCUGUCAGUUUCUUCAAAUCUGUUCAUCUCCCCUUCUACUUCCUGGUAUGCUUAUAAAAAUACAGUAUGUAAAUGACUUUUACUUGUUCCCUACGGUCUGUAAGACAUACAAAAAUUACUCAGCAUGCCAUGCAAGUCUAUUUACAGUCUUUUAAGUUGGAUAUCUGGCCUCAUAAUCUAAGGUCUGACUGCAACAAAAUACUUGUCGUUCUUCAAAUAUUUGCUCAUGCUUUUCCCUCCUGUGGUAAUGUUACCUUCACUCUCUAAGACACACAUAGAUCUUUCAUUUUCUGGUAAAUAAGCUGCCUCGCAUUGUUCAAUAUUAAAUGUUGAUUUCUUUGUGAGUUCUUGCUGUUCUCAUGGCUGCUCCUUUCUGUAUUUCUAAGAAUUCUCUUGGCAGAUGCGGAUCGUAGCGGGUGGCUGCUGCUGUAAGGCGGUUGUGGAAGUUAAUAAAGGUAUCCAUGGAGAACACUGAAAACUCAGUGGAUUCAAAAUCCAUUAAAAGUUUGGAACCAAAGAUCAUACAUGGAAGCAAAUCAGUGGACUCUGGAAUAUCCCUGGAUGACAGUUAUGAAAUGGAUUAUCUUGAGAGGUCUAUGUAUAAUAAUUAAUAAUAAGAAUUUUCAUAAAAGCACUGAAAUGACAUCUCAGUCUGGUACAGAUGUUGAUGCAGCAAACUUCAGGGAAACAUUCAUAAACUUGAAAUAUGAAGUCAGGAAUAAAAACGAUCUUACACGUGAAGAAAUUGUGGAAUUGAUGCAUAAUGUCUCUAAAGAAGAUCACAGCAAAAGGAGUAGUUUUGUUUGUAGGCUUCUGAGCCAUGGUGAAGAAGGAAUAAUUUUUGGAACAAAUGGACCUGUUGACCUGAAAAAAAAAUAACAAGCUUUUUCAGAGGGGAUUGUUGUAGAAGUCUAACUGGAAAACCCAAACUUUUCAUUAUUCGGGCCUGCUGUGGUACAGAACUGGACUGUGGCAUUGAGACAGACAGUGGUGUUGAGGAUGACGUGGCGUGUCAUAAAAUACCAGUGGAGGCCGACUUCUUGUAUGCAUACUCCACAGCACCUGGUUAUUAUUCUUGGCGAAAUUCAAAGGAUGGCUCCUGGUUCAUCCAGUCACUUUAUGCCAUGCUGAAACAGUACGCCGACAAGCUUGAAUUUAUGCACAUUCUUACCCAGGUUAACGGAAAGGUGGCAACAGAAUUUGAGUCCUUUUCCCUUGAUGCUACUUUUCAUGCAAAGAAACAGAUUCCAUGUAUUGCUUUCAUGCUCACAAAAGAACUGUAUUUUUAUCACUAAAGAAAUGGUUGGUUGGUUGCUGGUUGUUUUUAGUUUGUAUGUCAGGUGAGAAGAUGGUAUAUUUGGUACUGUAUUUCCCUCUCAUUUUGACCUAGUCUCAUGCCGCAGAGGGUACUUUAAGUCGUACUACUUCCAUCAGGUGAAACCACUGUGAAGCUACCUCAAACUUACAGCCAGGUAGUUGCAAUUGAAUUAAAUUAGGAAUAAAUAAAAAUGGACACUGGUGCAGUCAUUAUGAGAGGCAAUGAUUGUUAAUUUACAGCUUUCAUGAUUAGCAAGUUACAGUGAUGCUGUGCUAUGAAUUUUCAAGUAACCAUGAAAAAGUUAAACAUUGAAGUAAUGAAUUUUUAUGAUAUUCCCCCCACUUAAGACUGUGUAUUCCAGUUUUGUCAAACUAUAGGAAUGAUGAUGUGGAAGAACUUAGGCAUCUAUGGGCAUGGUCAAAGGCUCAAACCUUUUUUUAGUAUUGAUAAACAAAGAUGACCUAACUGCAUUUUUAGACCAUUUAUCUGGGAUUAUGGUUUUGUGAUGUCUGUCCUGAACACUUUUGUUGUAAAAAAAUAAUAAUAAUGUUUAAUAUUGAGAAAGAAACUAAGUAUUUUAUGUGAAAGGAAGUGUGAGCAAACUUAACUCUUUUAAGACUAAAACAUAACAUUCAUAGAGGGGUGGAUUUUAACUGUAAGGUGCUGCAAUGCAACUGAUCUACCAGCAUAAAUACCUUCUGAUUUGUCCCUAUGCAGAUCAGUUGAGCUUCACAUGCCAGCAAUAUAUCUGAAGAGCUGUUAUAUCAAAAGCCCAAACUGUUGAUUAUUAUGAAUAAAUUCUAUAGGAACAUAUGAAAAUACAACUUAAAUAAUAAAAAGUGGAAUAUAAGAAAAGCAUUAAAUGGAUGGGCUGAGUUGCCUCUAACUUGAGAGCAGAUGGUUUGAUCUUGAGCAGAGACAUGACUCGGCCUGUUCCGUGAAGGCAGAGCCACGGACCAUGGUUCCAGGAACGGCCUGCAGCCCACUUCUCCAUACACACUGGUGUGUGUGGACGAUGCUGCCAGGGCACCACUGCCAAGUAAGAAAGUGAAGCAAAUCAGAAAUUUGUGAAGUGGAAAUGUUCUAAAUGUGUACACACCACAGUGUCUACCUUACAGCAUGGAUUCAAUUAAUGUUUAGUGACAUUAAAAAAGGAGGAGGAAAAGAAGAAGAAAAAUGCAAAUAAACCUGGGAGAGAACACAGUGUCUAAAAUGUUACUGUAAAGAUGGAAGCAGCACCAUAACCAGAAACAACACCGGUAGUAAAGCCAUUGCUGAAAACUAAGUCAAGAAAAACAAAGGUCUGCAUUGAAACAAGUAGU